RNAcentral lists this unclassified non-coding RNA (348 nucleotides) under fungal sp. RNAcentral's name for it is "partial internal transcribed spacer region". The stretch from base 1 to 46 matches the Rfam family "Eukaryotic small subunit ribosomal RNA", at positions 1786 to 1831 of the family's 1831-position model. The record is from RNAcentral. Lineage: Eukaryota; Fungi.
AAGUCGUAACAAGGUUUCCGUAGGUGAACCUGCGGAAGGAUCAUUAACAAAUUUCCAUUGUUUAUGGGAUUUAUUCCAUAUCAACCUUGUGUGCACCUAUUAAUUGUCUCUGGUGGGUCCUUUGUUCUGAAGGGUUCUUUUCUUGCUUUUGCCUUGGUAGUCUUUGCUUGCUUUGAAGUCUUUCAUUAGACUCUGGAGUUUGGAAAAAUUGCUUGGGUUAUAGCAAAAGAGGAGCCUUCCAGUUCCAAGUCCACCAAAGGUUCAACCCCUGAGUAUUUCUGUUUUCUACUGAAGUAAUAAAUUAUUAUAAUUUAAAAACAACUUUUGACAACGGAUCUCUUGGCUCUC